This 52-nucleotide ribosomal RNA is filed under the name Escherichia coli. Its description in RNAcentral is "partial 23S ribosomal RNA". Lineage: Bacteria; Pseudomonadati; Pseudomonadota; Gammaproteobacteria; Enterobacterales; Enterobacteriaceae. RNAcentral also lists the same sequence under 13 other names. The record is from RNAcentral.
UUGAGCUAACCGGUACUAAUGAACCGUGAGGCUUAACCUUACAACGCCGAAG